AUGCCAGGUGGGAGGAGGUGGCCCUCUGGCUCCUCAGAACAGACCCUUUUAGAAAAGCAAGUCUCCCCAAAGACAGGGUUGCAGAAAUUAAUCACCAAGCCUCCAGAAUUAGAAAGAGGGUUCUUAUGCCUGGAUGUGGGCUUUGGGCAUUUAGGAAGUAGAUGUGUCUCUGGCUUUUCCAGAACCGCUGCUCCUGUCUGCUCCCACUGUCUCCUCCAUCCUCAGAGACCUCAUGUCUUUGCGGGAAGGAGGGAGGGUGGCGAUUCUCUGCCUGCAGGGCCGGUGGAAAAGGAACAAAGAAGCUGCAUGAAAAGGGAAGACAUGAGCUACAUCACUCCGAGAGAAGCGAAACAGGGAGAGGGGCCGCCCUGGCUUCCCAGAGGACCAGAGCUGGGCGCUGGACCGGAACCCAGAGCACCUCCUACCGGCCAGAUGAAAAUCUGGAUAUCCACAAACAAAUGAAGAGCGCUAGAAACGGCAUGUAUGGGUAUAUGUGUAUAUAUCUAUAUAUUCUUACUACUUAAAUAUAUUUAAAAGAUAAUUGUUGGGAAUGAAAAAUGGUAUAGACACUCUAAGAGAGUUUGGUGGUUUGUUAUUAAACUAAAUAUAUUCUCACCAUACUAUUCAGCAAUCAUUUUCCUAUUUACCUAAGUAGUUGAAGUUUAUGUCCACACAAAAAUGUGGAUAUGAAUGUUAAUAUCGGAAGCCUUGAUUGGAAGCAAUUAAGAUGUCUUUAGGGCUUCCCUGGUGGCUUAGAGGGUAAAGCGUCCCCCUGCAAUCCCGGGAGACCUGGCUUCAAUCCCUGAGUUGGGAAGAUCGCCUGGAGAAGGAAAUGGCAACCCACUCCAGUACUCUUGCCUGGAAAAUCCCAUGGACGGAGGAGCCUGGCAGGCUGCAGUCCAUGGGGGUCGCAAAGAGUCGGACACGACUGAGCGACUUCACUAAGAUGUCUUUAAAUAGGUGAAUGGAUAAACAAAACUAUGGUGCAUCCAUGCAAUAGAAUUAUAUUUCAGUGGUAAGAAAUGAGCUAUCAAACCACAAAAAGACACGGAGGGAUGUUAAAUGAGUAUUACUAAGUGAAAGAAGCCAGUCUAAAACCGUGAAAACUGCAUUGUUUGUUAAGGGUUAGGGGGAGGAGGAGGAGAGGUGGAGCACAGAACAUUUUUGUCAGUGAAACUAUUCUAAAUGAUGCUGUAAUGGUGGAUGUGUAACAUGCAUUUGUCAAAACCCAUAGAAUUUUCAACUCAAAGUGUGAGCCUUAAAGUAAACUGUGAGCAUUAGCUUUUUAAAAAUGUAUCAAGAUUGGUUCAUUAAUGGCGUACGUAAAAUGUUAAUAAUAGGGGAAACUGGUGGUGGGAGUCCAGAGAGGGUAUAUGGGAAUUCUGUACUUUCUAGUACAGUUUUUCUAUAAACCUAAAAAUGCUUUCAAAAUAAAGUAUUAAAAUUUAAAGAAAAAUAGUAACCAUGCAUUAUAUGUAAAAUAUAUGUAGAUAUAUACAUAAAAUAUAUGCUAGAAUAGCAUAAAUACUGGAGGUGAGAAAACAAAUAUAUUCUGAGGUAACAUCACACAAAUGUGCUGUGUAAUAGAUAUAUACUACCCCAAAACAACUGGUAAAAUAAAAAUAUGAUAAGCCAACAAGGGAUAUAAAGUGGAUCAUUAAAAAAUUAUUACUUUGGAAAAAAGCAGAAAAGAAAGAUCAUGAACAGUUUAGAUAAAAUAAGGCCUAACAGGUUUCUGGUCUAGUGUGUGAGGAGUUUGGAAGUCAUUACUCUAUCCUAACAAUUAAAAGGCCGAACAAACUGAAAAUCAGCAGAUCUUCUUAGGUAUGUCAGAGAAGUGAGGUUACAGGGCAAACUGCUACCCCCAAAUUGGAGAGACGGGUGGAUACAUAGAAUCACAGCUUCUGUAGGAACCUACACAGAUGUCAGAAAAAUGUCUGGAGGUUCAGUGUGGACAAGCAUGAGGGUUAAAAACUCUAGGUGGACAGAAUCAUAGGAUGACCUUCAGACUUCCAUGAGUUUUACCUCCAGCAGUUGGACCAGGUUCUUGUUAUGAGUCCAAGCUCAUACUGCUCACCAUGAAUCAAGAGAUGGGGUGUUGGGACAAGGAAUAGUGACUUUUUCAGGAAACCCAGCAGAUUGACAAGGUGGUAGACACGUGCCCCACUGAACAAUCUUACCUGAGUUAGAAUUCAGGUUUGUUUUGUACUAAAAUGGGAGGGGUGCGGCUGGUUGUUGUAGACUCCUUGAUGUCAGCCAGACUCAGAGAGGAUGUGAUAAUCCUUUGUUCUCGCAGAUGUCCACAUAGAUCUGUUCGUUGGGUUCGUGUAAACUUCCAACAAGAAAAAUGUUAUUCUCAAACCUGCAACUUUUUAUCUCUGUAUGAAUGAGAAGUGUUAUUCUUUUAAAGGUCAAUCCUGGAAGGUGGAGCCUUGAGAAGGGACUGUCCUAUGUGUUUCAGGCUAUAAUCAACUUUCCUUUACAAAGGUGCGGAACCAGCAGACUAAGCCCAGGCAAGAGAGCACAAAGGUAGGCGCUAAUGAAAUAGAUCUGAUAUGGAGUCAGAGUUGUUAUUCUGUGUUACAUUCUCACAAUAAAUAUCAGAGAAAAAUCCCCACCUGCUUCCUUCAUGGGUAUGGGGA
RNAcentral lists this long non-coding RNA (2642 nucleotides) under Ovis aries (sheep). RNAcentral's name for it is "lncRNA (ENSOARG00000025628.1)". Lineage: Eukaryota; Metazoa; Chordata; Mammalia; Artiodactyla; Bovidae. The record is from RNAcentral.